This is a non-coding RNA of Myodes glareolus (Bank vole), 1173 nucleotides long. Lineage: Eukaryota; Metazoa; Chordata; Mammalia; Rodentia; Cricetidae. The record is from RefSeq and is a predicted model, not a curated record.
AAGUCUGCAGAGCCACAAAACCGUGAGCACCAGGAUGCUGCAGCCUGCGAUAAGGAUGCCCAAGCUCCCCAGGCAAGACUGGCAGACCUCCCCACGGCCCUUUCCGAUUACCACCCGCUAAGGGGAGACUGAGGACGAGAGAAGGAACGGGGCCUGCUCAGCAUCACCUAGCAGGAAAGAGCAUGAGCUCCAAGUCCAAGGUAACUACUGAACACUCGCCUUCGGGCGAAGCAGCCCGGGUGCGGUCUGAAGUGCUCCCUGAACUUCGUAAGCGGACACUCCGGUUGAAAAAGAUCCACCCCCAAGAAAAACCUGGACUCUUGCCUGAAAGAGUCCCGCCAACGGCCGAAAGUGGUUCGGUACUUGCUGCCAACCCUGAGGAUCUGAGUUUGAUUCCCUGGACCCACAUGUUACAAAGCCCAGUAAUUUUCUUCUGACCCUCACAUAUUGCACAUGUGCAUGCAUACAUAUGCUCAAAGUAAAAUGUAAAGACAAAAAAAGAGUUCUUAGGGUAACGGAAUUAACUGCAUAAGCAGAGGGGCUGCCAACACGCCAAGAGAUUGGAUGCCAGGGAUCUGCGCCCACUGGGAUUUUACCACUAUCUCAAGAGAUUCCUGGCACUUUCAGCUGGGCCACACAACAGGAUCUCUUUCUGGCUUCUACUUUAUUAUGACAUCUGGAUGUCCUGGUGGGUCCAUUUUAGAGCAGUGUUCUUUAAAUCAAGCCCAGUGCUCAACACUUACUUCCAUACCAUCCAGGAAGGAGGUAGAGAGGUGACCCGGUACAAUGUGGGGACAUAGACUGGGUAGGCCACUUAGGUCCACCAGCUGGGGAGGAAAGCUAAUGAAGAGGCUACGUUUCAGAACCUGGCUUUCUAUAGCGCGGGUGGAGCCCGAGCUGCACUCUGCUCCUCAGCCCUCUCACAAGACAGGGUGAAACCACUUCCAUGCUAUUCGCACGUGGUGUGAGGGACUCAUUCUUCACUGUAAAAUAACGUCUACCUUAAUUCCCUUAUCUAGUUAGAAGCUUUAACUGAGCACAAAGACAUACCUAUUAAUGUCUUAAGGAAAACAAAUGUAUGUGCCCCACUAGUUGGCUAACUGGCCCUUCCAAGAAAGGCCGGUAUCUAGACAGGGAACUUUGUUUGUUUUUUUUUUUUAAAAAAAAAAGUAC